UUUACUAGUUAUUUACUUGUGUAUUUAUCUCCAUAAAUUUUUUAUUUUAAAUUUUUUUAGCUUGCCAAGGGGAUUCCACAGUUGAAUCUUCAUGGAUAUCUAUCAACUUUGGUCCCUUUUCCAGAUACAUCACAUAUACUAAUUUGAAGGAGAUGAAAAUCAAUUUGAUGACAGUUCUAAAUUCCCUCCCAGCAACUCUGAAAGCAGAAUUAAUCUUUGAUCCAUCUAUUGGUGUACUUCAUAAUGAGACGCUUAUGAGGAUGGUUUUGUCCUCUAUUCUGAUAUCUCCAGACGAUGGGCAGCUUGAACAGUUCUUUACAGCUUUUACUUACAUCACCACAAAUAGAAAUAUCACAAUAAUUGAAAACACGGCUGUCCGAGACACAAUGCUGAACCUAACUUUGAUGGCUCUUUCUCCCAGAUUCCCUCUCUUCCAAUCCAAUGACUAUAUGUUGUGGUUUCAAAUAAAUCUUGUUGUACUACUGGCCAGUUUUCAUCCAUCAUAUUUGGUGGUUAUCCCCACAAACCUCAGCUGUGACUCUUACGAUGCAAUAUUAAAAGGCUUAGAAAAGGCUUUGGCUAUUGUACCAUCUGAACUUCUAGAGGACUUGAAGACAAGCAAAGAAAUUCUGAUUCUUUCACUACCAAAAGGUUGUCCUCAGAAAAAUACUCCCUUACCAAUAGGCUCUAAAUAUGUCACUACUGCAACUACAUCUUCAAUGUCAACCACUCAGCUACCAACUAAGGCCUCCACAGGUCCAGCAGUGUCAGGCGAAGUAUUUGUUAUUCUGCAGAUCCGUUUGCAUAUACAGUAUAUUGAUGCUUACAGUAAUCCUGCUUCAUUGGAGUAUCAGACUCGAUCCAGAAACAUCACAAUGGAGCUGAAUCACUUCUACUGGAAAUUGUAUGAGCCACACUUUCUCAGAUGCUACUUGAUGGGAUUCUGGCCUGGGUCUGUGGGUGUGGAUAUGCAACUUAUUUUUAAAAGUGACACUGUGCUUCCAAAUAAAGAAAGCAUUGAAGACAAUCUUAAGUCAGCAAUUGCUGAAUCAAAAGUGUUUCUUGACAUUAUUCCUUCCAGUGUCGUUGUUGUGAAUCAAGAUGGCUCAAGUUUGACAACCAGACAAACCCAGUCAUCACAAAAUGUUCUGAUUAAGCAAACAUCAUCUGCUGCAGCACCAGUUCUUUCUAGUGUUGUACCUACUAGCACACCUACUGAUCUUUCAAGCACAGCUCCUCCUAAUUAUGUUUCGUUCAAUGUCAUUCCUGAUCCUUCAACCAUAAUAGUUCCUACAGAUCUUUCAGACACUUCUGUCACCACUGGUCCAUCAGUAACAGAUGGUUCAUUAAACACAACAGAUGACACUCAUCUGUCAAGUACUUCAUCUCCUAAUGUUCCCAUACUCUCUGCAGUUUCUACUCAGAAGUCAAGCAUAACUGCUCCUCUUGGAACAUUAAGCACAGCAGAUCCUGCUCAUCUAUCACACACUGCUCCCUAUGACCAUUCAAGCACUGGGGAUCCUACUGAUCAUUCAAACACAACUGUUCUUACUGAUCCCUCAAUCACUGCAGUUUUUACUAAUCAAACAAGCCCAACUGUUGGAUCAAGUACUACAGUUCAUAUUGAGCGACCAAGCACAACUGUUCAUACCGGAACCAUGACCUCUGCAGUUCCUACUGAUCUGUCAAGCACAACUGCUUCUACUAGUCCCAUCACAACUACAGAUCUUUCAGAUUCAUCAAAGGCAUCUGUUCCUGUUGGUUCCACAACUGCUGCAAUUCCUACUGAUCAAUCACACUUAGUUGUUCCUUCUGAUACGUCAACCACUGAAUUCCUUGCACAUUUUUCAAGAACAACUCUUCCUAAUUCUAUUUCAAAAAAUGCAAUUCCUACUGAUAGACAAAGCACAACUGUUAAUACCAAAACCUCAACAACUGUAGUUCCUGCUGAUCUCUCUAGCACAAUAUCACCUACUGGUUUUACAGACACUGCAGUCACUUCUGGUCCAUCAGUUUCAACAGUUUCCCCUGGUCAUUCAAACAAUGCAGUAACUGCCAGUCUAUCAAACACAACUACUAAUUAUUCUUCAAACAAUGUGUUCCCUACGGAUCAACCAAGCACAACUGUUCAUACUGGAACCUCAAACACUGCAGUUCCUAUUGGACUGUCAAUCACAACUGUUCACACUGCCUCUUUCAUCACUAAAAGUUAUACCAAUCAAUCAGCUGAUCCUCCUGGCCCCUUUACCAGUGAAGUACCUACUGAUUUAACAGUCACAAAUGUUUCCUCAAUCACAGCAGAUCAUACUAAUUUAUCAAGCACUGCUUUUCCUAUUAGUACCACACCCCCGGCAGUACCUCCUAAUCAGUCAAUCACAUCUAUUCCUCUAGGCCUUUCAAACAGUGCAGCUCUUCCCAGUCUAUUUACCACAAUAGUUCCUACUGAUUUGUCAAACAGAACUGUUCCUAAUGACCAUUCAAGUAUCUCAGUUCAUACUGAACAAUUAAGCAUGACUAUUCCUAUUGGUCCCUCAACUACUAAAGUUCCCACUAAUCUUUCAAAAACAACUGUUCAGCCAGGCUCUUCCACCUCUACAGUGACAACCUAUCCAUCAAGCACAAUUAUUCUGCCUGAAAAGAUAAACACCACUGUCUCUACUAAUUUGUCAAGCAAAGUCGUUUCUAAUCCUUAUACAACUACUACAAUUUCAACCAAUACAUCAAUCACAACUGCACCAGAUGGCCAUUCAAACAAUGGAGUCCAUACUGUUUUAUCAAACACAACUAUUUCUGCUGGAAUGUCAAGCAGUGUACAUCGUACAGAUGUAUCAAACACAACUGUUCUUUUAAGUCCAUCUGGCACUACAUUGUCUGUAUCAGGUGCAGCUGGUAAUCAAAUUACCACCUCUGUAAUGUUUUCAAACUCAACACACUCUAAAGUUGUCACCACCUCAACCACAUCUUCAGUGCGAACCACUCAUCUAUCAACUAAAGCCUCCACAGGUUCAGCAGUGCCAGGCGAGGGAUUUGUUAUUCUGCAGAUCCGUUUACAGAGACAAUACAUUGAUGCUUACAAUAAUCCUGCUUCUAUGGAGUACCAGAUUCUGUCCAGAAACAUCACUAUUGAGCUCAAUCGAAUCUACCGGGAAAUUUAUGGGACCCGCUUCCUCAGAUGCUAUGUGAUAAGAUUAUGGCCUGGGUCAGUGGGUGUGGAUACAGAACUUAUUUUUAAAAACCAGACUGUGCUUCCAAAUGCAACAAGCAUUGAAGAAUCUCUAAAGACAGCAAUUGCUGAAUCAAAAGUGUUCCUUGGUGUGAUUCCUUCCAGUAUUACUGUUGUGGAACAGCAAUAUACAACUUCAACCACCAGCCACACUCAGACAUCACAAAGUGUUCCUAUAAUGCAAACAUCAUCUGCUGUUGCACCGGUUCUGUCUAGUAUGCUGUUCAUGCUUCUGCUUCUACUAUGGAAUGAAACACUGUAAUUCUGCAAAGCUUUACUCCAUGUGUCACAUUCAAACCUACAAUUAAUAUUGUGACAACUCUAUUAUCUGCUUUUGUGAUACAUUACUCUUAGUUUUAUGUAAUGAAAAUUGUGAUUUACCUGAUACAUUUAAUUAUUAUUCUUCAGGCAUUUCUUGGGAAUUUCAACACCUAUAACACCAUAACUUGUAUUUUGCCUAACCCUUCUUGUAUUUUCUUUUCUUGGAUGUUAAAGAAAUUUAAAUGUAAUGCAUAUUUGUAAAUAACAAGCAAAAUACAAUACAAUGGUUUUGAUUUAAAAAUAUUAUAUAUAAUUUAUUUUGUUGAAUUUAAUUGUAAUCUGUACUAUUUGUGCACUAUUCCUUUGUUAUUCAGAAAAGUGUAGUUAAGAUAAAUUUAUUUGUAUGAGUACCAGUUUGUCAAGAUAGUUUCUGUUUCCAAGAAUGCUUUGCUUCAAUAAAUGCUGAAAUUAUUUUGUCUUAUUAUUUAUU
Cyprinus carpio (common carp) is the source of this 3974-nucleotide long non-coding RNA. NCBI's taxonomy places the organism in Eukaryota, Metazoa, Chordata, Actinopteri, Cypriniformes, Cyprinidae. The record is from Ensembl.